AUUGAACGCUGGCGGCAGGCCUAACACAUGCAAGUCGAGCGAGCGGCGGACGGGUGAGUUAUGUCUGGGAAUCUGCGUGGUGGAGGGGGAUCACUACUGGACACGGAUGCCAAUACCGUAUACCAUCAGAUGUGCCCAGUUGGGUUUAGCUAGUGGGUGGGGUAAAGGCUCACCUAGGCGACGAUCCCUACCUGGUCUGAGAGGAUGACCAGCCACACUGGAACUGAGACACGGUCCAGACUCCUACGGGAGGCAGCAGUGGGGAAUAUUGCACAAUGGGCGAAAGCCUGAUGCAGCCAUGCCGCGUGUGUGAAGAAGGCCUUCGGGUUGUAAAGCACUUUCAGCGAGGAGGCGUUACUCGCAGAAGAAGCACCGGCUAACUCCGUGCCAGCAGCCGCGGUAAUUC
RNAcentral lists this ribosomal RNA (406 nucleotides) under uncultured bacterium. Its description in RNAcentral is "partial 16S ribosomal RNA". It matches the Rfam family "Bacterial small subunit ribosomal RNA", at positions 30 to 526 of the family's 1533-position model. The record is from RNAcentral.